UGGUUCUGGCAUCGAUGAAGAACGCAGCAAAAUGCGAUAAGUAAUGUGAAUUGCAGAAUUCAGUGAAUCAUCGAAUCUUUGAACGCACAUUGCGCCCAUUAGUAUUCUAGUGGGCAUGCCUGUUCGAGCGUCAUUAAGUCCACUUAAGCCCUGCUUAGUGUUGGGAAUCUACUCUGGCGGCGGCUACACUGUAGCUACCCUGUAGUUCCUUAAAGUUAGCGGCGGAGUUGCAGUGUCCUCUGAGCUUAGUAGUAACAUUCUAGCUUUCGAGAAGCCGCAGCGCUUGCCGUAAAACACCCUUCUUCUGAAUGGUUGACCUCGGAUCAGGUAGGAAUACCCGCUGA
This 344-nucleotide unclassified non-coding RNA is filed under the name uncultured fungus. RNAcentral's name for it is "partial contains 5.8S ribosomal RNA and internal transcribed spacer 2". The stretch from base 1 to 133 matches the Rfam family "5.8S ribosomal RNA", at positions 22 to 154 of the family's 154-position model. The record is from RNAcentral. Lineage: Eukaryota; Fungi.